GACGAACGCUGGCGGCGUGCUUAACACAUGCAAGUCGAGCGGUAAGGCCCUUUCGGGGGUACACGAGCGGCGAACGGGUGAGUAACACGUGGGUGACCCUGCCCUCAGCUCUGGGAUAACACCGGGAAACCGGUGCUAAUACCGCAUACGAUCACGAUGUCUGCGGACGUUGUGAUGAAAGGAGCAAUUCGCUCUUAGAGGAGCCCGCGGCUGAUUAGCUAGUUGGGAGGUAAUGGCUCACCAAGGCUACGAUCAGUAUCCGGUCUGAGAGGACGGUCGGACACACUGGAACUGAGACACGGUCCAGACUCCUACGGGAGGC
RNAcentral lists this ribosomal RNA (322 nucleotides) under uncultured bacterium. RNAcentral's name for it is "bacterial SSU rRNA". It matches the Rfam family "Bacterial small subunit ribosomal RNA", at positions 28 to 349 of the family's 1533-position model. The record is from RNAcentral.